This 247-nucleotide long non-coding RNA is filed under the name Zea mays. Its description in RNAcentral is "long non-coding RNA NONZMAT001245". The record is from RNAcentral. Lineage: Eukaryota; Viridiplantae; Streptophyta; Magnoliopsida; Poales; Poaceae.
GCUAGGCGGCGAGCUAUGGUAGGACGGUGGUUCGACGGGCGCUAACGAAUUACGGUGGUGGUGCUCCCCAUGCUCCGAUCCAGGGUGCGCACCCAGCGGUGCCUCGGCAUAGAGCGCCGGAGCCGGUGCUUCUACCGCUGGGAAGGCAUAGCGAGACGAUGCAGCGCUGCAGCAGGAGGAGAAAACAGCGGUAAGAGCAACAAGGAGGGCAAGGCCCUUCAUGUUCGUGAUGCCCAUGCUUUGGUUU